Molecule: ribosomal RNA, 1489 nt
Filed under: Lactiplantibacillus plantarum
Lineage: Bacteria; Bacillati; Bacillota; Bacilli; Lactobacillales; Lactobacillaceae
Description: bacterial SSU rRNA
Rfam family: Bacterial small subunit ribosomal RNA
Source: RNAcentral
GACGAACGCUGGCGGCGUGCCUAAUACAUGCAAGUCGAACGAACUCUGGUAUUGAUUGGUGCUUGCAUCAUGAUUUACAUUUGAGUGAGUGGCGAACUGGUGAGUAACACGUGGGAAACCUGCCCAGAAGCGGGGGAUAACACCUGGAAACAGAUGCUAAUACCGCAUAACAACUUGGACCGCAUGGUCCGAGUUUGAAAGAUGGCUUCGGCUAUCACUUUUGGAUGGUCCCGCGGCGUAUUAGCUAGAUGGUGGGGUAACGGCUCACCAUGGCAAUGAUACGUAGCCGACCUGAGAGGGUAAUCGGCCACAUUGGGACUGAGACACGGCCCAAACUCCUACGGGAGGCAGCAGUAGGGAAUCUUCCACAAUGGACGAAAGUCUGAUGGAGCAACGCCGCGUGAGUGAAGAAGGGUUUCGGCUCGUAAAACUCUGUUGUUAAAGAAGAACAUAUAUGAGAGUAACUGUUCAGGUAUUGACGGUAUUUAACCAGAAAGCCACGGCUAACUACGUGCCAGCAGCCGCGGUAAUACGUAGGUGGCAAGCGUUGUCCGGAUUUAUUGGGCGUAAAGCGAGCGCAGGCGGUUUUUUAAGUCUGAUGUGAAAGCCUUCGGCUCAACCGAAGAAGUGCAUCGGAAACUGGGAAACUUGAGUGCAGAAGAGGACAGUGGAACUCCAUGUGUAGCGGUGAAAUGCGUAGAUAUAUGGAAGAACACCAGUGGCGAAGGCGGCUGUCUGGUCUGUAACUGACGCUGAGGCUCGAAAGUAUGGGUAGCAAACAGGAUUAGAUACCCUGGUAGUCCAUACCGUAAACGAUGAAUGCUAAGUGUUGGAGGGUUUCCGCCCUUCAGUGCUGCAGCUAACGCAUUAAGCAUUCCGCCUGGGGAGUACGGCCGCAAGGCUGACACUCAAAGGAAUUGACGGGGGCCCGCACAAGCGGUGGAGCAUGUGGUUUAAUUCGAAGCUACGCGAAGAACCUUAUCAGGUCUUGACAUACUAUGCAAAUCUAAGAGAUUAGACGUUCCCUUCGGGGACAUGGAUACAGGUGGUGCAUGGUUGUCGUCAGCUCGUGUCGUGAGAUGUUGGGUUAAGUCCCGCAACGAGCGCAACCCUUAUUAUCAGUUGCCAGCAUUAAGUUGGGCACUCUGGUGAGACUGCCGGUGACAAACCGGAGGAAGGUGGGGAUGACGUCAAAUCAUCAUGCCCCUUAUGACCUGGGCUACACACGUGCUACAAUGGAUGGUACAACGAGUUGCGAACUCGCGAGAGUAAGCUAAUCUCUUAAAGCCAUUCUCAGUUCGGAUUGUAGGCUGCAACUCGCCUACAUGAAGUCGGAAUCGCUAGUAAUCGCGGAUCAGCAUGCCGCGGUGAAUACGUUCCCGGGCCUUGUACACACCGCCCGUCACACCAUGAGAGUUUGUAACACCCAAAGUCGGUGGGGUAACCUUUUAGGAACCAGCCGCCUAAGGUGGGACAGAUGAUUAGGGUG